Molecule: long non-coding RNA, 230 nt
Filed under: Volvox carteri
Lineage: Eukaryota; Viridiplantae; Chlorophyta; Chlorophyceae; Chlamydomonadales; Volvocaceae
Description: long non-coding RNA (VCAR_LNC001492)
Source: RNAcentral
CAGCCCUCGCGGCGCUGCAUAGCAGCAUAAACCCGGCCUGGCUCGAAGCUGCUAGAACGGUUGAGACCCGGCGACAGCAGCAGCGGGGGCUAACGGAACCGAUGGCAGCGGCAACGGAAGGGGAGGAGGCUGUCAUACCGUCACCAGCACCACUGCUGACCAGCAUGCAAGCGAUGGGUAUGAUUGCUGGGCGAAUUGGGUGGCGUAUACCUGGGAUGGCGGAAGCCAUC